AUUGAACGCUGGCGGCAGGCUUAACACAUGCAAGUCGAACGAGCGGCGGACGGGUGAGUAAUGUCUGGGAAACUGCCUGAUGGAGGGGGAUAACUACUGGAAACGGUAGCUAAUACCGCAUACCAUCAGAUGUGCCCAGAUGGGAUUAGAUGGUUGGUGGGGUAAUGGCUCACCAAGGCGACGAUCCCUAGCUGGUCUGAGAGGAUUACAGGCCACACUGGAACUGAGACACGGUCCAGACGCCGACGGGAGGCAGCAGUGGUGAAUAUUGCACAAUGGGCGAAAUCCUGAUGCAGACAUGCCGCGUGUGUGAAGAGGGCCUUCGGGUUGUAAAGCACUUUCAGCGAGGAGGCGUUACUCGCAGAAGAAGCACCGGCUAACUCCGUGCCAGCAGCCGCGGUAAUAC
This 406-nucleotide ribosomal RNA is filed under the name uncultured bacterium. RNAcentral describes it as "partial 16S ribosomal RNA". It matches the Rfam family "Bacterial small subunit ribosomal RNA", at positions 30 to 526 of the family's 1533-position model. The record is from RNAcentral.